Small nucleolar RNA from Lolium rigidum, 116 nucleotides. RefSeq annotates it as small nucleolar RNA Z278. NCBI's taxonomy places the organism in Eukaryota, Viridiplantae, Streptophyta, Magnoliopsida, Poales, Poaceae. The transcript has a single exon. The record is from RefSeq and is a predicted model, not a curated record.
UCCAAUGAUGCCAUGCCCAACAUUUGGAGGUGCAGACGGCUCGGGUUUCCUGUUUACAGGAUGAACCUACCCGUAGUCCCUGUAUUCACUUGACAUUAGCGGGCCGAGUCUGAGGA